AAGUGUUUACAACCUUGUAGUUUCGUUGUGGAAAUGGUAACCAUUCGGGAAACCUACCUGGCGGAUACUGCUAAUGGCAUGACACCC
Molecule: microRNA precursor, 87 nt
Filed under: Schistosoma japonicum
Lineage: Eukaryota; Metazoa; Platyhelminthes; Trematoda; Strigeidida; Schistosomatidae
Description: microRNA sja-mir-3501 precursor
Source: miRBase by way of RNAcentral